RNAcentral lists this ribosomal RNA (468 nucleotides) under uncultured bacterium. RNAcentral's name for it is "partial 16S ribosomal RNA". It matches the Rfam family "Bacterial small subunit ribosomal RNA", at positions 28 to 507 of the family's 1533-position model. The record is from RNAcentral.
GACGAACGCUGGCGGCGUGCUUAACACAUGCAAGUCGAACGGAAAGGCCCUGCUUUUGUGGGGUGCUCGAGUGGCGAUCGGGUGAGUAACACGUGAGUAACCUGCCCUUGACUUUGGGAUAACUUCAGGAAACUGGGGCUAAUACCGGAUAGGAGCUCCUGCUGCAUGGUGGGGGUUGGAAAGUUUCGGCGGUUGGGGAUGGACUCGCGGCUUAUCAGCUUGUUGGUGGGGUAGUGGCUUACCAAGGCUUUGACGGGUAGCCGGCCUGAGAGGGUGACCGGCCACAUUGGGACUGAGAUACGGCCCAGACUCCUACGGGAGGCAGCAGUGGGGAAUAUUGCACAAUGGGCGGAAGCCUGAUGCAGCAACGCCGCGUGCGGGAUGACGGCCUUCGGGUUGUAAACCGCUUUCGCCUGUGACGAAGCGUGAGUGACGGUAAUGGGUAAAGAAGCACCGGCUAACUAUGUG